Molecule: non-coding RNA, 135 nt
Organism: Hordeum vulgare subsp. vulgare (domesticated barley)
Lineage: Eukaryota; Viridiplantae; Streptophyta; Magnoliopsida; Poales; Poaceae
Source: Rfam
AUAAUACUCCCUCCGUCCCAAAAUUCUUGUCUUAGAUUUCUCUAAAUAUGGAUGUAUCUAGAUACGUUUUAGUGUUAGAUACAUCCGUAUCUAGAUAAAUCUUAGACAAGAAUUUUGAGACGGAGGUAGUAUGCA